This 2773-nucleotide ribosomal RNA is filed under the name Shigella flexneri. RNAcentral describes it as "bacterial LSU rRNA". It matches the Rfam family "Bacterial large subunit ribosomal RNA". Lineage: Bacteria; Pseudomonadati; Pseudomonadota; Gammaproteobacteria; Enterobacterales; Enterobacteriaceae. The record is from RNAcentral.
AGCGUAUACGGUGGAUGCCCUGGCAGUCAGAGGCGAUGAAGGACGUGCUAAUCUGCGAUAAGCGUCGGUAAGGUGAUAUGAACCGUUAUAACCGGCGAUUUCCGAAUGGGGAAACCCAGUGUGAUUCGUCACACUAUCAUUAACUGAAUCCAUAGGUUAAUGAGGCGAACCGGGGGAACUGAAACAUCUAAGUACCCCGAGGAAAAGAAAUCAACCGAGAUUCCCCCAGUAGCGGCGAGCGAACGGGGAGCAGCCCAGAGCCUGAAUCAGUGUGUGUGUUAGUGGAAGCGUCUGGAAAGGCGUGCGAUACAGGGUGACAGCCCCGUACACAAAAAUGCACAUACUGUGAGCUCGAUGAGUAGGGCGGGACACGUGGUAUCCUGUCUGAAUAUGGGGGGACCAUCCUCCAAGGCUAAAUACUCCUGACUGACCGAUAGUGAACCAGUACCGUGAGGGAAAGGCGAAAAGAACCCCGGCGAGGGGAGUGAAAAAGAACCUGAAACCGUGUACGUACAAGCAGUGGGAGCACGCUUAGGCGUGUGACUGCGUACCUUUUGUAUAAUGGGUCAGCGACUUAUAUUCUGUAGCAAGGUUAACCGAAUAGGGGAGCCGAAGGGAAACCGAGUCUUAACUGGGCGUUAAGUUGCAGGGUAUAGACCCGAAACCCGGUGAUCUAGCCAUGGGCAGGUUGAAGGUUGGGUAACACUAACUGGAGGACCGAACCGACUAAUGUUGAAAAAUUAGCGGAUGACUUGUGGCUGGGGGUGAAAGGCCAAUCAAACCGGGAGAUAGCUGGUUCUCCCCGAAAGCUAUUUAGGUAGCGCCUCGUGAAUUCAUCUCCGGGGGUAGAGCACUGUUUCGGCAAGGGGGUCAUCCCGACUUACCAACCCGAUGCAAACUGCGAAUACCGGAGAAUGUUAUUACGGGAGACACACGGCGGGUGCUAACGUCCGUCGUGAAGAGGGAAACAACCCAGACCGCCAGCUAAGGUCCCAAAGUCAUGGUUAAGUGGGAAACGAUGUGGGAAGGCCCAGACAGCCAGGAUGUUGGCUUAGAAGCAGCCAUCAUUUAAAGAAAGCGUAAUAGCUCACUGGUCGAGUCGGCCUGCGCGGAAGAUGUAACGGGGCUAAACCAUGCACCGAAGCUGCGGCAGCGACGCUUAUGCGUUGUUGGGUAGGGGAGCGUUCUGUAAGCCUGUGAAGGUGUGCUGUGAGGUAUGCUGGAGGUAUCAGAAGUGCGAAUGCUGACAUAAGUAACGAUAAAGCGGGUGAAAAGCCCGCUCGCCGGAAGACCAAGGGUUCCUGUCCAACGUUAAUCGGGGCAGGGUGAGUCGACCCCUAAGGCGAGGCCGAAAGGCGUAGUCGAUGGGAAACAGGUUAAUAUUCCUGUACUUGGUGUUACUGCGAAGGGGGGACGGAGAAGGCUAUGUUGGCCGGGCGACGGUUGUCCCGGUUUAAGCGUGUAGGCUGGUUUUCCAGGCAAAUCCGGAAAAUCAAGGCCGAGGCGUGAUGACGAGGCACUACGGUGCUGAAGCAACAAAUGCCCUGCUUCCAGGAAAAGCCUCUAAGCAUCAGGUAACAUCAAAUCGUACCCCAAACCGACACAGGUGGUCAGGUAGAGAAUACCAAGGCGCUUGAGAGAACUCGGGUGAAGGAACUAGGCAAAAUGGUGCCGUAACUUCGGGAGAAGGCACGCUGAUACGUAGGUGAAGCGACUUGCUCGUGGAGCUGAAAUCAGUCGAAGAUACCAGCUGGCUGCAACUGUUUAUUAAAAACACAGCACUGUGCAAACACGAAAGUGGACGUAUACGGUGUGACGCCUGCCCGGUGCCGGAAGGUUAAUUGAUGGGGUUAGCGCAAGCGAAGCUCUUGAUCGAAGCCCCGGUAAACGGCGGCCGUAACUAUAACGGUCCUAAGGUAGCGAAAUUCCUUGUCGGGUAAGUUCCGACCUGCACGAAUGGCGUAAUGAUGGCCAGGCUGUCUCCACCCGAGACUCAGUGAAAUUGAACUCGCUGUGAAGAUGCAGUGUACCCGCGGCAAGACGGAAAGACCCCGUGAACCUUUACUAUAGCUUGACACUGAACAUUGAGCCUUGAUGUGUAGGAUAGGUGGGAGGCUUUGAAGUGUGGACGCCAGUCUGCAUGGAGCCGACCUUGAAAUACCACCCUUUAAUGUUUGAUGUUCUAACGUGGACCCGUGAUCCGGGUUGCGGACAGUGUCUGGUGGGUAGUUUGACUGGGGCGGUCUCCUCCUAAAGAGUAACGGAGGAGCACGAAGGUUGGCUAAUCCUGGUCGGACAUCAGGAGGUUAGUGCAAUGGCAUAAGCCAGCUUGACUGCGAGCGUGACGGCGCGAGCAGGUGCGAAAGCAGGUCAUAGUGAUCCGGUGGUUCUGAAUGGAAGGGCCAUCGCUCAACGGAUAAAAGGUACUCCGGGGAUAACAGGCUGAUACCGCCCAAGAGUUCAUAUCGACGGCGGUGUUUGGCACCUCGAUGUCGGCUCAUCACAUCCUGGGGCUGAAGUAGGUCCCAAGGGUAUGGCUGUUCGCCAUUUAAAGUGGUACGCGAGCUGGGUUUAGAACGUCGUGAGACAGUUCGGUCCCUAUCUGCCGUGGGCGCUGGAGAACUGAGGGGGGCUGCUCCUAGUACGAGAGGACCGGAGUGGACGCAUCACUGGUGUUCGGGUUGUCAUGCCAAUGGCACUGCCCGGUAGCUAAAUGCGGAAGAGAUAAGUGCUGAAAGCAUCUAAGCACGAAACUUGCCCCGAGAUGAGUUCU